This 1379-nucleotide long non-coding RNA is filed under the name Citrus maxima (pomelo). RNAcentral's name for it is "long non-coding RNA (CMAX_LNC000235)". Lineage: Eukaryota; Viridiplantae; Streptophyta; Magnoliopsida; Sapindales; Rutaceae. The record is from RNAcentral.
GGUUUUUUUAAGACUACGGUUUUUUUGCCCACCCCUAACCCGAUCUGCCUCUUUUACUCACCCACUAGCAGGCUGUCACUCACCCACAAAACUUGUCACGCCACGGCCAUUGUUGACCAGCCAUCAUCGCUGUCACGCCACGCCCAUUGCCGACCAGCCCAUCACUGAUCACAUCGCCGUUGACGGUGUGCUUGACGAUUUUGGACCUUUUUCACCUACGUAGGUAAUUAAAUUUAGCAUGUUGAGGAAAGUUUUGAUUUAUUGUAUUUAUAUUUUAAAAUUAUUAGAAAUAAGUUAUUGGAAAUGUAGAUUUUGUUUGAAUUAUAUAUGAUUAAUACAAUUUAUUUUUCAUGGUAUAAAAAUGAAGGAUUUGGAAAAAAAACUACAAAGUCGAAGAUUUUGAAGAAUUAGAUUAACAACAAUUUAAAUGGAAAUAAUGAAAAAACUGAUAAUGAUGUGGAUGUGAAACCAAAAAAGUAUGAGCCAAAGUUUGGGAUGUUGUUUGAUAAACACCAUUAUCUUCUUAUGAGCCAAAAAAGGAAGAAUUAGAUGACAACAAUUAAGGUAAGAUUAAACUACUUACUUAAUUAUUCUACAAUUAAUUUAAUUUUAAUUUUAAUGUAUCUUUUUAUGGAUUUGCAGGAUUCAAAUGUACAAACACCAUUAUCUUCUGAGGUGGAUAUUGUAGUCCCAACGCAUGAGAGCAAUAAGGAUCCUGUAAGUUUUAUGUUCUUUGAUGUAAUACUAUUUAAUUAUUUUAAUUUUUAAUGGUCACUAAAUAAUGGUCAUUAUUUAAGAACCUGUGAUCGCAUACCAAUUACAAGGAUGUGAUAUUUAUCCAUGGUUUCCUUUUGAUUCUUACAUUGUAAGUUAUAAUCCAAUUUCUAUAUUUAUGCCUAGUUAAUUUUGCAUUUUCUGGAAUGUAAUAUGGUUCUUAUUUUGUACAAACUAGCAAUCCCCAUCACUCCCAUCUAUGUUGCCUUAUUCUUCAUCUUGGAUAUCGUAUAAAGGUUCUCAACAAAGGAGUUUUCAGUAAUCGCUACUUCAACAGAAUGAUAAUAACAAAGAAGUUUGAAGCAGACUUAACAGAUUGAUCAUUGACUUAUUCUUUUGUUGUGUUUUGUGUAUUAGUUGGUUGGAUGAUAUUACUCUAGUGCUCAAUGAUUGAACGUGGAAAUAUUUUGAAGGGUUUUUAUCCAUAUAUUCAAAGGGUUAAGUGUGUCAAUAACCAUUACAACAAUAAGAGUAGUUCAUAUAGAAAUGUCAAAUUAACCACACACAAAAGAAAAAGGUACAAAUAACUUAUUUCUAGUAAUUUUAAAAUAUAAAUACAAAAAAAAACCAAAUACUUUUCUAAUCAAAGUAUCACAUACAAGGUU